This 800-nucleotide ribosomal RNA is filed under the name uncultured Planctomycetota bacterium. RNAcentral's name for it is "bacterial SSU rRNA". It matches the Rfam family "Bacterial small subunit ribosomal RNA", at positions 10 to 802 of the family's 1533-position model. Lineage: Bacteria; Pseudomonadati; Planctomycetota. The record is from RNAcentral.
AGUUUGAUCAUGGCUCAGAAUGAACGUUGGCGGCGUGGAUUAGGCAUGCAAGUCGCACGAGAAGUUCUUUAUUGAAGCUUCGGCUGAUGUAUUGAACGGACAGUGGCGCAAGGGAGAGUAACGCGUGGAUAAUCUACCCUCAGACCAGGGAUAGCAGCGGGAAACUGCUGGUAAUACCUGAUAAUGUCUCCGGACCAAAGGUGUGAUUCCGUCUGAGGAUGAGUCCGCGUCCUACUAGCUUGUUGGUGAGGUAAUGGCUCACCAAGGCUUUGAUGGGUAGCGGGUGUGAGAGCAUGACCCGUCUCACUGGGACUGAGACACUGCCCAGACACCUACGGGUGGCUGCAGUCGAGAAUCUUCGGCAAUGGGGGAAACCCUGACCGAGCGACGCCGCGUGCGGGAUGAAGGCCUUCGGGUUGUAAACCGCUGUCAGUUGGGAGGAAAUGUUAUAGGGCUAUCCCUAUAACUUGACCUAUCUUCAGAGGAAGGACGGGCUAAGUUCGUGCCAGCAGCCGCGGUAAGACGAACCGUCCAAACGUUAUUCGGAAUUACUGGGCUUAAAGGGUGCGUAGGCGGUCUGGAAAGUUGGGUGUGAAAUCCCUCGGCUCAACCGAGGAAUAGCGCCCAAAACUUCCAGACUUGAGGGAGGUAGAGGUGAGCGGAACUUAAGGUGGAGCGGUGAAAUGCGUUGAUAUCUUAAGGAACACCGGUGGCGAAAGCGGCUCACUGGACCUCUUCUGACGCUGAGGCACGAAAGCUAGGGUAGCGAACGGGAUUAGAUACCCCGGUAGUCCUAGCCG